Molecule: ribosomal RNA, 253 nt
Filed under: uncultured bacterium
Lineage: Bacteria
Description: partial 16S ribosomal RNA
Rfam family: Bacterial small subunit ribosomal RNA
Source: RNAcentral
UACGUAGGGUGCAAGCGUUGUCCGGAAUUAUUGGGCGUAAAGAGCUCGUAGGCGGUUUGUCGCGUCUGCUGUGAAAACUCGGGGCUUAACCCCGGGCCUGCAGUGGGUACGGGCAGACUAGAGUGCGGUAGGGGAGACUGGAAUUCCUGGUGUAGCGGUGAAAUGCGCAGAUAUCAGGAGGAACACCGGUGGCGAAGGCGGGUCUCUGGGCCGUAACUGACGCUGAGGCACGAAAGCGUGGGGAGCAAACAGG